RNAcentral lists this ribosomal RNA (430 nucleotides) under uncultured bacterium. Its description in RNAcentral is "bacterial SSU rRNA". It matches the Rfam family "Bacterial small subunit ribosomal RNA", at positions 29 to 482 of the family's 1533-position model. The record is from RNAcentral.
AGCGAACGCUGGCGGCAUGCUUAACACAUGCAAGUCGCACGGUUCGGGGGCAACCUCGGGCAGUGGCGGACGGGUGAGUAACGCGUAGGAAUCUAUCCUUGGAUGGGGGACAACCGUGGGAAACUACGGCUAAUACCGCAUGAUGCCUGAGGGCCAAAGUCAUUGGGGCAACUUGAUGGCGUCUGGGGAGGAGCCUGCGUCUGAUUAGGUAGUUGGUGGGGUAAAGGCCUACCAAGCCUACGAUCAGUAGCUGGUCUGAGAGGAUGAUCAGCCACAUUGGGACUGAGACACGGCCCAAACUCCUACGGGAGGCAGCAGUGGGGAAUAUUGGACAAUGGGCGCAAGCCUGAUCCAGCAAUGCCGCGUGAGUGAAGAAGGUUUUUCGGAUUGUAAAGCUCUUUUUGGCGGGGACGAUGAUGACGGUACCCGC